RNAcentral lists this transfer RNA (535 nucleotides) under uncultured cyanobacterium. Its description in RNAcentral is "partial 16S-23S intergenic spacer". The stretch from base 207 to 279 matches the Rfam family "tRNA". Lineage: Bacteria; Bacillati; Cyanobacteriota. The record is from RNAcentral.
AGACAACAAAAUGUUUAAUAUUAUUAUUUUGUCACCUUAGGUCGAUCGGUAUCUCACGUUCUUAAAUUUAUUGAGAAUUUCAAUUCCUAAGUUUUUCUAGGUCACACCCAUUAUUUUCCUGGGCCAUUAGCUCAGGUGGUUAGAGCGCACCCCUGAUAAGGGUGAGGUCCCUGGUUCAAGUCCAGGAUGGCCCAUAUCUCUAUGUUGGGGGUAUAGCUCAGUUGGUAGAGCGCCUGCUUUGCAAGCAGGAUGUCAGCGGUUCGAGUCCGCUUACCUCCACUGAUUACCACCUCUUCCAUAAUCUGGAUAAAGGAAAUGUUUUGAGAUGUGAUCAAAUUCUGAACGAAUUUAGCUUCCUAAUGAAAUCAUUAAGAUGCUGGAUUCAUUGAAUUAAUUUCAUUGUUUUCAGAGAACCUUGACAACUGCAUAGAUUAUUUUUAAAGACAAUAAGCAUCUUUAAUGAUGCAGAUUUAUUAUUUGUGCGAAUGCAUUAAUAACAAUUCUAUUAAGCUGAUGCUUCAAUUUUGAAGUUAUU